UACGUAGGUGGCAAGCGUUGUCCGGAAUUAUUGGGCGUAAAGAGCAUGUAGGCGGGAUUUUAAGUCUGUUGUUAAAAUGCGGGGCUCAACCCCGUAGUGCGAUGGAAACUGGAAUUCUUGAGUGCAGGAGAGGAAAGGGGAAUUCCCAGUGUAGCGGUGAAAUGCGUAGAUAUUGGGAGGAACACCAGUGGCGAAGGCGCCUUUCUGGACUGUGUCUGACGCUGAGAUGCGAAAGCUAGGGGAGCGAACG
This 250-nucleotide ribosomal RNA is filed under the name uncultured bacterium. RNAcentral describes it as "partial 16S ribosomal RNA". It matches the Rfam family "Bacterial small subunit ribosomal RNA", at positions 524 to 774 of the family's 1533-position model. The record is from RNAcentral.